ACCCGUUGAUUCUGCGGGAGAUUGCUGCUAUUGGGAUCCGACUUAGCCAUGCAAGUCAGGGACUCUUCGGAGGACCGGCAGACCGCUCAGUAACACGUCGAUAAUCUACCCUAAGGUUUGGGACAAGCUCGGGAAACUGAGUCUAAACCCGAAUAAGAAAUAUACUCUGUAAUGACAUAUUUCUCAAAAGUAAUGCCUUAGGAUGAGUUGGCGGCUGAUUAGGCUGUUGGCGAGGUAAUGGCUCACCAAACCUAUGAUCAGUAGGAGCCUUGAGAGAGGUAGCUCCGAGAAGGGCACUGAGAUACUGGCCCUAGCCCUAAGGGGUGCAGCAGGUACGGAACCUUUACAAUGCAGGAAACUGUGAUAAGGGGAUCCCAAGUGCUUUACUUCGGUAAGGCUUUUGUCAAGCGUAAAUAACUUGGCGAAUAAGUGGUGGGAAAGACUGGUGCCAGCCGCCGCGGUAACACCAGCGCCACAGGUGGCAAUCACGAUUAUUGGGUCUAAAGGGUCCGUAGCCGGUUUGUUAAAUUUUUCGUGAAAUUGUUAUGCUUAACUUAACAAUGUGCGAAGAACACUGACAGACUAGAGACCGGGAGGAGACAGAAGUAUUCUUGGGGGAGUGGUAAAAUGCUAUAAUCCCAAGAGGACUACCUAUGGCGAAGGCAUCUGUCUAGAACGGUUCUGACGGUGAGGGACGAAAGCUAGGGGAGCGAUCCGGAUUAGAUACCCGAGUAGUCCUAGCCGUAAACGCUGUGAGUUAUGUGUUGCACUUUCUUCGGGAAAGUGCAGUGCCGAAGUGAAGACAUUAAACUCACCACCUGGGAAGUACGGUCGCAAGAUUGAAACUUAAAGAAAUUGGCGGGGGCUUACUACAAGGGGUGCGGCGUGCGGUUUAAUCGGAUUUUACGCCGGGAAUCUCACCAGGAGCGACGGCAGGAUGAAGGUCAGAUUGAAGGUUUUACCUAACGAGCCGAGAGGUGCUGCAUGGCCGCCGUCAGUUCGUGCCGUGAGGUGUCCUGUUAAGUCAGGCAACGAACAAGAUCUAUAUCUACAGUUGCUAACAUACCAUUUG
This 1072-nucleotide ribosomal RNA is filed under the name marine metagenome. RNAcentral's name for it is "bacterial SSU rRNA". It matches the Rfam family "Archaeal small subunit ribosomal RNA", at positions 1 to 1081 of the family's 1478-position model. The record is from RNAcentral.